Sinocyclocheilus anshuiensis is the source of this 316-nucleotide long non-coding RNA. RefSeq lists it as uncharacterized. NCBI's taxonomy places the organism in Eukaryota, Metazoa, Chordata, Actinopteri, Cypriniformes, Cyprinidae. The transcript is spliced from 3 exons. The record is from RefSeq and is a predicted model, not a curated record.
CAGUGCGGUAAAAUGUGCCACUGCCAAACAACACAGGAUAGGAUCAACAACACAGAAACUAACCCGUAUGGAUGCUCGCUAUCCAUGUAGGCCUGGUCUCCUGUUCACACUCAUAGUUCACGGAGGAAGAACAAUCAAUAUCUGCAAAUUCAAAUGGGAACAGUAAUUCGCACAUGGGCAUGUAUACAUUGAAAACAAUUCACAUGUGAAAAUCUUUACAUCACAACAAUUUACGAGUGGAUAUCCGAAAGUGCCGGGGAUGAGAGACGUCAAAUGAAAUUGCGUGACUGAGGUGUGCCAGAUGAAGGGACGGGGC